RNAcentral lists this ribosomal RNA (254 nucleotides) under uncultured bacterium. RNAcentral's name for it is "partial 16S ribosomal RNA". It matches the Rfam family "Bacterial small subunit ribosomal RNA", at positions 524 to 776 of the family's 1533-position model. The record is from RNAcentral.
UACAGAGGGUGCGAGCGUUGUCCGGAAUUAUUGGGCGUAAAGAGCUCGUAGGCGGUGUGUCACGUCGGCCGUGAAAACCUGCAGCUUAACUGUGGGCGUGCGGUCGAUACGGGCAUCACUGGAGUUCGGCAGGGGAGACUGGAAUUCCUGGUGUAGCGGUGAAAUGCGCAGAUAUCAGGAGGAACACCGGUGGCGAAGGCGGGUCUCUGGGCCGAUACUGACGCUGAGGAGCGAAAGCGUGGGGAGCAAACAGG